This 462-nucleotide long non-coding RNA is filed under the name Monodelphis domestica (gray short-tailed opossum). RNAcentral's name for it is "lncRNA (ENSMODG00000011488.3)". Lineage: Eukaryota; Metazoa; Chordata; Mammalia; Didelphimorphia; Didelphidae. The record is from RNAcentral.
AUGGGGCACUUUGGAGAGCACCUGACAGAACCCUCCUAUGACCAUAAUACCGCUCUCCACUGGACUUACGUGCACAAUCCACACAAGGCAGAUAAACCCGAAGAGCAGGACAGGAUCAAUCACGGUGGUGUCCAAGGCAAGUCUCAGCCAGAACUAGGACAACCCUUCAGCAGCCUGAAGAGUUGGAGCUUCCGGAUCUCUGGCAAUAGAGAGGCAAGGAAGAUUUUUGAGCUAGGAAAUGCAAUGGAAUUGGAUCAGCACUGUGAAAAAUGAAGAUGACUCAAAGAAACAUAGGAUCACUAAAAACCCAGUUGAAAAAUUCUGUUCUGAAGGAAACCUUUCCUGGUCUUCCAACUACUUGGUGCCUUUUCCCCCUCCACCCCACCCUCAUCUUCUGCUACCUUAUAUCAUUUUAUAUAGAAUCAGUCAGUCAAUAAAUAUUAUUAAAAACCUACUAUGUCA